RNAcentral lists this ribosomal RNA (492 nucleotides) under uncultured Hydrogenothermaceae bacterium. RNAcentral's name for it is "bacterial SSU rRNA". It matches the Rfam family "Bacterial small subunit ribosomal RNA", at positions 29 to 528 of the family's 1533-position model. Lineage: Bacteria; Pseudomonadati; Aquificota; Aquificia; Aquificales; Hydrogenothermaceae. The record is from RNAcentral.
CGCGAACGUUGGCGGCGCGCCUAACACAUGCAAGUCGAGGGGCAGCAGGCCUUUUCUUCGGAAAAGGUGCUGGCGACCGGCGAACGGGUGAGUAACGCGUAGCUAACCUACCCUCAGUAUGGGGAUAACCCCUCGAAAGGGGGGCUAAUACCCAAUAAAGAGGCGUAUCAAUAGAUGUGCCUCCAAAGGCCUUCGGGCGCCUGAGGAUGGGGCUGCGUCCCAUCAGGUAGUUGGUGAGGUAAAGGCUCACCAAGCCGACGACGGGUAGCUGGUCUGAGAGGAUGGCCAGCCACAGUGGGACUGAGACACGGCCCGCACCCCUACGGGAGGCAGCAGUGAGGAAUCUUGGACAAUGGACGAAAGUCUGAUCCAGCUAUUCUGCGUGAAGGAUGAAGCUUUUUGGAGUGNAACUUCUUUUCUGGAGGAAGACGAAUGACGGUACUUCAGGAAUAAGGGGCGGCUAACUACGUGCCAGCAGCCGCGGUAAUNCGU